GGGCGCAUAGCUCAGUUGGCUAGAGCAUCUCGUUUACACCGAGAGGGUCAGGGGUUCGAGUCCCUUUGCGCCCACCA
Molecule: transfer RNA, 77 nt
Filed under: Candidatus Uhrbacteria bacterium CG_4_10_14_0_2_um_filter_41_21
Lineage: Bacteria; Candidatus Uhriibacteriota
Also listed under: 4 other names
Description: tRNA-Val
Rfam family: tRNA
About the family: Transfer RNA (tRNA) molecules are approximately 80 nucleotides in length. Their secondary structure includes four short double-helical elements and three loops (D, anti-codon, and T loops). Further hydrogen bonds mediate the characteristic L-shaped molecular structure. tRNAs have two regions of fundamental functional importance: the anti-codon, which is responsible for specific mRNA codon recognition, and the 3' end, to which the tRNAs corresponding amino acid is attached (by aminoacyl-tRNA synthetases). tRNAs cope with the degeneracy of the genetic code in two manners: having more than one tRNA (with a specific anti-codon) for a particular amino acid; and 'wobble' base-pairing, i.e. permitting non-standard base-pairing at the 3rd anti-codon position.
Source: RNAcentral